This 461-nucleotide ribosomal RNA is filed under the name Bacillaceae bacterium Ellin7256. RNAcentral describes it as "bacterial SSU rRNA". It matches the Rfam family "Bacterial small subunit ribosomal RNA", at positions 28 to 480 of the family's 1533-position model. The record is from RNAcentral. Lineage: Bacteria; Bacillati; Bacillota; Bacilli; Caryophanales; Bacillaceae.
GAUGAACGCUGGCGGCGUGCCUAAUACAUGCAAGUCGAGCGAAUGGAUUGAGAGCUUGCUCUCAAGAAGUUAGCGGCGGACGGGUGAGUAACACGUGGGUAACCUGCCCAUAAGACUGGGAUAACUCCGGGAAACCGGGGCUAAUACCGGAUAACAUUUUGAACUGCAUGGUUCGAAAUUGAAAGGCGGCUUCGGCUGUCACUUAUGGAUGGACCCGCGUCGCAUUAGCUAGUUGGUGAGGUAACGGCUCACCAAGGCAACGAUGCGUAGCCGACCUGAGAGGGUGAUCGGCCACACUGGGACUGAGACACGGCCCAGACUCCUACGGGAGGCAGCAGUAGGGAAUCUUCCGCAAUGGACGAAAGUCUGACGGAGCAACGCCGCGUGAGUGAUGAAGGCUUUCGGGUCGUAAAACUCUGUUGUUAGGGAAGAACAAGUGCUAGUUGAAUAAGCUGGCACCU